UACGUAGGCAGCAAGCGUUGUUCGGAAUUACUGGGCGUAAAGCGUGCGCAGGCGGUGAUGCAAGACAGAUGUGAAAUCCCCGGGCUCAACCUGGGAACUGCAUUUGUGACUGCAUCGCUGGAGUGCGGCAGAGGGGGAUGGAAUUCCGCGUGUAGCAGUGAAAUGCGUAGAUAUGCGGAGGAACACCGAUGGCGAAGGCAAUCCCCUGGGCCUGCACUGACGCUCAUGCACGAAAGCGUGGGGAGCAAACAGG
RNAcentral lists this ribosomal RNA (253 nucleotides) under uncultured bacterium. RNAcentral's name for it is "partial 16S ribosomal RNA". It matches the Rfam family "Bacterial small subunit ribosomal RNA", at positions 524 to 776 of the family's 1533-position model. The record is from RNAcentral.